This 460-nucleotide ribosomal RNA is filed under the name uncultured bacterium. RNAcentral's name for it is "partial 16S ribosomal RNA". It matches the Rfam family "Bacterial small subunit ribosomal RNA", at positions 338 to 795 of the family's 1533-position model. The record is from RNAcentral.
CCUACGGGUGGCAGCAGUGAGGAAUAUUGGUCAAUGGGCGGGAGCCUGAACCAGCCAAGUCGCGUGAGGGAAGAAGGUACUGAGUAUUGUAAACCUCUUUUGCCAGGGGACAAAGGCGGCCACGGGUGGCCGUAAGAGGGUACCUGGAGAAAAAGCAUCGGCUAACUCCGUGCCAGCAGCCGCGGUAAUACGGAGGAUGCGAGCGUUAUCCGGAUUUAUUGGGUUUAAAGGGUGCGUAGGCGGUCAGGUAAGUUAGAGGUGAAAGCUCGAUGCUCAACAUCGAAACUGCCUCUGAUACUGGCUGACUAGAGUGUAGUUGCGGAAGGCGGAAUGUGUGGUGUAGCGGUGAAAUGCUUAGAUAUCACACAGAACACCGAUUGCGAAGGCAGCUUUCCAAGCUAUUACUGACGCUGAGGCACGAAAGCGUGGGGAGCGAACAGGAUUAGAUACCCGAGUAGUC